UGCAAUCUCUUGGAAGGAAAUGGCAAGGAUGGAAAUGUGAAGCAAAAAAACAAGGAUACAUGCCAUAUAAUAAUUAUGCAGACAUAAUAGCUCAUAGGCCUAGUAGAGUUACGGAGGAGCAGUGGCGGUGUCUGGUCUAUUAUUGGAAUGAUAGAAAUGUACAGGAGAAGAGUACAAACAACAAGGAUUACAGGUCCC
Molecule: long non-coding RNA, 198 nt
Organism: Rhododendron vialii
Lineage: Eukaryota; Viridiplantae; Streptophyta; Magnoliopsida; Ericales; Ericaceae
Exons: 2
Source: RefSeq, a predicted model, not a curated record